UACAUGGGUUGCAAACGUUGCUCGGAGUUCUUGGGCGUAAAGCGCGCGUAGGCGGCCACUUCAGUCGGAUGUGAAAGCCCCUGGCUCAACUGGGGAAGUGCACCCGAAACUGAAUGGCUUGAAUACAAAAGAGGGUCGCGGAAUUCCCGGUGUAGAGGUGAAAUUCGUAGAUAUCGGGAGGAACACCGGUGGCGAAGGCGGCGACCUGGGUUGAUAUUGACGCUGAGGCGCGAAAGCGUGGGGAGCAAACAGG
Molecule: ribosomal RNA, 253 nt
Filed under: uncultured bacterium
Lineage: Bacteria
Description: partial 16S ribosomal RNA
Rfam family: Bacterial small subunit ribosomal RNA
Source: RNAcentral